Long non-coding RNA from Polyodon spathula (Mississippi paddlefish), 611 nucleotides. RefSeq lists it as uncharacterized. The transcript is spliced from 2 exons. NCBI's taxonomy places the organism in Eukaryota, Metazoa, Chordata, Actinopteri, Acipenseriformes, Polyodontidae. The record is from RefSeq and is a predicted model, not a curated record.
GGGAAUAAGGGCAGGAUUCGGGGAGUGAGAGAUUACUGGGAAGUGGCAGGGGGAGCCAGGGAAUAAGGGCAGGACUCGGGGAAUGAGAGAUUACUGGGACGUGACAGGGGGAGCCAGGGAAUAAGGGCAGGACUCGGGGAGUGAGAGAUUACUGGGAAGUGACAGGGAGAGCCAGGGAAUAAGGGCAGGACUCGGGGAAUGAGAGAUUACUGGGAAGUGACAGGGGGAGCCAGGGAACAAGGGCAGGACUCCGGGAGUGAGAGAGAGAGCAGUGAGUAAGCAGCAGGGUCAAGUAUUUAAGUCCAGCACUCAGCUGCAGUAUUUGAGAGUCAGUGGAGCUGCCACAGAAGGAGGAUAGGAUUUCAUGCUGCAAACCUGGGGCUCUUCGAAGAAGCAGAGCUCGCCUUGUUUUAGAGGGUGGGAGUGCUUGGCUCUGAGAACUGAAUUCCAUAGAUGGUUGAUUUCCUCAAACCCAUCUGGGCUCAGUUCUUGAAGCUCGGUACUUCAGAGGCAAGCAGAUUCUGAGCCAGCCAGCUCCACGGAGUAUUGCGUUCCUCAUUUACUGUACUCUGUAUGAUCUUGUAAAUUAAUAAACACAUGUUAUAUCUUCA